CAAUAGCGUAUAUUAAAGUUGUUGCGGUUAAAAAGCUCGUAGUUGGAUUUCUGCUGAGAACGACCGGUCCGCCCUUUGGGUGUGUAUCUGGCUCUUUCUUGGCAUCUUCUUGGUGAACGUUGCUGCACUUGACUGUGUGGAGCGCUACCCAGGACUUUUACUUUGAGGAAAUUAGAGUGUUUCAAGCAGGCAUACGCCUUGAAUACAUUAGCAUGGAAUAAUAAGAUAGGACCUCGGUUCUAUUUUGUUGGUUUCUAGAGCUGAGGUAAUGAUUAAUAGGGAUAGUUGGGGGCAUUCGUAUUCAACUGUCAGAGGUGAAAUUCUUGGAUUUGUUGAAGACGAUCUACUGCGAAAGCAUUUGCCAGGGAUGUUUUCAUUGA
This 380-nucleotide ribosomal RNA is filed under the name uncultured eukaryote. RNAcentral describes it as "partial 18S ribosomal RNA". It matches the Rfam family "Eukaryotic small subunit ribosomal RNA", at positions 592 to 976 of the family's 1831-position model. The record is from RNAcentral.